Bubalus bubalis (water buffalo) is the source of this 1972-nucleotide long non-coding RNA. RefSeq lists it as uncharacterized. The record is from RefSeq and is a predicted model, not a curated record. NCBI's taxonomy places the organism in Eukaryota, Metazoa, Chordata, Mammalia, Artiodactyla, Bovidae. The transcript is spliced from 3 exons.
ACUUAGGUACUGCCUUGCUUAGCUUCUUUGGGGUUCACUUUUUUUAAGUGUCUUUUUUUUUUAAUAUGGACCAUUUUUAAAGCCUUUAUUGAAUUUGUUAUAACACUGCUUCUGGUUAACGUUUGGCUUCCUGGCCAGGUGGCAUGCAGGAUCUUAACUCCUUGACCAGGUUCACACUUUAGCCAUAUUUCCCUAAUUUUUACCUAACGACUUUUUCCUAUUCCAGGAUGCCAUUCGAGACACCACAUUAGGGACUUGCCUGGUGGUCCAGUGGUUAAGAUGUAGCCUUCAAAUGCUGGGGAGCAUGGGUUCAAUCUCUGGUCAGGGAGCCAAGAUCCCAGAUGCCUCUAGCCCAAAAUAACAAAAGGUAAAACAGGAGCAAUAUUGUAACAAGUUCAAUAAAGACUUUUGAAAUGGCUCAUAUUAAAAAACGUUUUAAAAGGCACCACAUGAUGUUUUGUUAUUAUUAUGGAUUGCAUUUUUCUCCCCUCCCCCAUCCAAAUUCUUAUAUUGAAGCCUGAACUCUCAAGUUGAUAGUGUUUGGAGGUGGGGUCUUUGCAAGGUAACUAGGUUUAAUUGUGGAUACUAAGGUGGGGCCCUGUGGUGGGAUUAGUGCCCUUAUAGUAAGUGGGAGAGAGAGCAGAGUGCCCUCACUCUGGAUAAAGCAAGAAAGCUGCCUUCUGCUGUCUGGGAGCUGAAUCUUCAGCCGCACAAUCUUGUGCUUCCCAGUCUCCAAAACUGUGAGAAAUAGUCUGUUUCAGCCACCCAGCCUAUAGUAUUUUGUCUGCCAAGCAGACAAAAACAGUCAUCGUGUUUCCCUAGGCUCCGCUUGAGUCUGACAUUCUCCGUUUUCUUGUUUUUGAUGACCCUGACAGUUUUGAAGAGUAGCGGUCAGGCUUGAAGGGGAGUGGAAACAGUGCCAGGGAUGGUUCUCCUCAGAGCCCUACAGGGUCUGCCCAUACAGGAGUGUUCGUAUCCCCAGGAGGAAACUGGAUGAUGUGAACUUAAGGGGGAUCUUCCCAACCCAGGGAUCGAACCUGCACCUCCUGCAUUGCAGACAGAUUGUUUACUGCUGAGCCAGCCCGGAGAAGCCCCAUGCAAGGGACAUAAAGACUGAUAAAUGAGAGCCUACAUACAAAAAACCAUCCGGAGUGCCACUUCCUCCUUCUCCUCUUCCUCUUAUGCUGAGCACCCUCCUGGACUUGUUUGUGUAAGCCCCGAAGGUUUGCUUGCACUUUGGCACCAAACCGCUAAUGCUCCUAGACGCUAACACACUCCGAUGGCUACAGUUGCAUCAACUAGGAUCUGGGUUGGCAGCCAAACUAAGCUAAUGCACUGUGUCAUCACAGACUUCCCACACCACGGAGAAGGCACAGAAUGACUUGGAGACCUGGUCGCAGUUCCUGCUGCUAUUAGUCAUGGUGUGUUAGUGGAAUGCAAGCUCAAAAAACUAUUUCCUAAGUGCUUUCCAAGGACCUGGUUCCUCACACAGGUAGUUUUCGCCAACUGUAAUGACAGGGAGAAACUAGAGUGUCAGGGAGAACAGAAUUUAUGCUUUAUUUUGGAUCAGAUGUUCCUUAAAAAUAAAUCUCCACCUGAUCUUAAUUUUGACUUCAAUUCCAUAGACUGGUGAUCUGAGUGUUGAGGACAGAGAUCUUAGAAUCUGUUUAUAUGGUAUAAAUACAGAAAGGACUGGUUCUGAGUCGAAGGAUUAGAUCAACGUUUGAAUAUAAACUUAAAACCUAAGUCACAUGUUAUUUUUUGAAGCAUUGAAAUUGGUCUUUGCAAACGCCCUAAAUCCCUUUGAGAAACUUUAAAUAAGCACUGAGUUUUCUUGCCAUAAAGUUCUGCACUUCAUCUAGAAAGCCUCUUUUAGAAAAAUAUCUCUGAAAACCUGAAGCUGGCAAAGAAGCUGGAUAAGUUGAAAGGGAAAUGAUAGAAAAUUCUGGUUUGCAGUAAAGGGGAACAAAGG